Molecule: unclassified non-coding RNA, 229 nt
Filed under: Hevea brasiliensis (rubber tree)
Lineage: Eukaryota; Viridiplantae; Streptophyta; Magnoliopsida; Malpighiales; Euphorbiaceae
Source: RNAcentral
GCCGUACUUGUCGCCGUACUCCUUCAGCUUGUCGAUGUUGCCGCCGACGCGAUCCUUGAGCUGAGGGUGGUUGUCCAUGAUCUGCUGCGCGGAGUCGCCGGCCAAGUCGCCGAUGCGGCCGAGGUGCUUGACGAUGAUGUCCCAUGCGCGCUUUGCGGUGAGGAUCGAGAUGUCGCCGUUCUUCGCCACGCUCUGCAGCUCCGAGUAGGCGUCCCGCACGAUGUUAUCG